CGAAGGGCUAGCGUUGCUCGGAAUUACUGGGCGUAAAGGGCGCGUAGGCGGAUCAGCAAGUUGGGUGAAAGCCCGGGGCUCAACCUCGGAAUUGCCUUCAAAACUGCUGAUCUAGAGUGCGGGAGAGGUGUGUGGAACUCCGAGUGUAGAGGUGAAAUUCGUAGAUAUUCGGAAGAACACCAGUGGCGAAGGCGACACACUGGCCCGUUACUGACGCUGAGGCGCGAAAGCGUGGGGAGCAAACAGGAUU
RNAcentral lists this ribosomal RNA (250 nucleotides) under uncultured bacterium. RNAcentral's name for it is "partial 16S ribosomal RNA". It matches the Rfam family "Bacterial small subunit ribosomal RNA", at positions 528 to 779 of the family's 1533-position model. The record is from RNAcentral.